UACGUAGGGGGCGAGCGUUGUCCGGAAUCAUUGGGCGUAAAGCGCGUGUAGGCGGCCCGGUAAGUCCGCUGUGAAAGUCCAGGGCUCAACCCUGGGAUGCCGGUGGAUACUGUCGGGCUCGAGUCCGGAAGAGGCGAGUGGAAUUCCUGGUGGUAGCGGUGAAAUGCGCAGAUAUCAGGAGGAACACCAAUGGCGAAGGCAGCUCGCUGGGACGUGACUGACGCUGAGACGCGAAAGCGUGGGGAGCAAAC
This 251-nucleotide ribosomal RNA is filed under the name uncultured bacterium. RNAcentral describes it as "partial 16S ribosomal RNA". It matches the Rfam family "Bacterial small subunit ribosomal RNA", at positions 524 to 773 of the family's 1533-position model. The record is from RNAcentral.